The sequence is a small nuclear RNA, 121 nucleotides long. Its record names the gene U1. It matches the Rfam family "U1 spliceosomal RNA". From Rfam's summary of the family: U1 is a small nuclear RNA (snRNA) component of the spliceosome (involved in pre-mRNA splicing). Its 5' end forms complementary base pairs with the 5' splice junction, thus defining the 5' donor site of an intron. The record is from Ensembl.
ACACUUACCUGGCAGGGGAGAUACUGUGAUCAAGAAGUCGGUUCACCCAGGGUUAGGCUCAGCCAUUGCACUCUGGCUGUGGUGGCUUAGCUGUUAAGGAAGGUUGGAAGGUUGCCAGUUC